AACAAUAAAGGAAGCUAUGACCAUCUGUUUUUCGAUAUGGACACCUUAUAACAGAUGCGAGCCAAUGGUGUAACCGACCCUUAGGGGC
Molecule: non-coding RNA, 88 nt
Filed under: Halanaerobium kushneri
Lineage: Bacteria; Bacillati; Bacillota; Clostridia; Halanaerobiales; Halanaerobiaceae
Description: c-di-GMP-II sequence
Rfam family: Cyclic di-GMP-II riboswitch aptamer
Source: RNAcentral